UCUCGAAUCGGUCUCCAAAUGCUCCAAUUCUAACCAAAAUAAGUAUAUUAUCAUCAACAUAUGCUAAAGGAAAAAAACCCAAGCGAAAAUUAUCAAAUUACAUUAACAAUCCCGAAAUUGGCCAAACCCGACCCCCGGGCCCACGUCACGAAAUCCGAUGAAAAUCACAAAAUCCGACAACCCAUUCAACUACGAGUCCAACCAUACCAAAAUUACUAAAUGUCGAUAACAAUUCGGCCUACAAAUCUUCAAAUCUUAUUUUCAAAUCCCUAGGUCCAAAUCCCCAAUUUACACCUCAAAAACAUUUAAUCUAGUCGGACUAUUCGAUGAUAAUUUAAUAUUAUGGAGUAGAAAUAGUCACAAGUGACUUACCUCAAGAUUUCCCAUGACUUCUCGCUCAAAUAUCGCCCCAAGCCGCGUUCUUUUCGUCCAAAAAUGUGGAAUGAGCUAAACAAAACAAGACAGCUCAAUAAAACACAAUUCAGGUUGCUAAAAGCCCCAUUCCUCUCGCUAAAAGUACCAAAUCUAGUCGCUAAAGGUGCGUACCAGAUCCUGUUGUACCAACAAUAUUUAUUUUCACCGAAAAGGCUCUAACUCCACCAUACGAACUCGGAAUUCGAUGAUUCUUGUUCCUAUGAGUCACAAAUAAUAAUUCGAACAUUGCCCUUCAAUCUAAACUCAAUUCUAAGCUUAUUUGCUCAGUGUGAUACCCAUUUCGCUCGUUAAACAAUUAACUCAUGUUUCGCUUCAAAAACCCAAUCGCGACUUGAUAAAAUUAGACCAAACUUUCCAGAUCACUCCUAUAAUUCAUUAUCACAAUUAUGGAAGUUUUGAAAUCAAAUUUCGAUCUCUAUAACUAAAAAUGGACCUUUGGAUCAUUACAUGCUUAUGCUUAAAACGGCAAAAAUCUUCCAAAAACUCUUCCGAAACUUAUCCGAGCCUCAUGGGACCCCGACCAAACAUGCCAACACACCCCAUAACACCACUCAAACUUUUUCCAACCUUCAGAAUGCUCAAACCAAUAUCAAAACUUUAAAUCACCCUCGGAUUCAAGCCUAAGAAUUCCAAAACUUCCGAAUUUCGAAUUCAAUCAAAAAGUCUAUCAACCCUCGUCCGAAUGACCUGAAAUUGUGCACACACCUCAAAAAUAACACAACAGACCUACUCCAACUUUCGGAAUUCCAUUCCGACCCUAUAUCAAAAUCUCACCUAUCAACCGGAAAAUGCCAAAAUUCCAAUUUCGCCAAUUCAAGCCUGAAUCAACUCCGGACCUCCAAAACCUAUUUCGGACGUGCUCCCAAGUCCAAAAUCGCCUAACGGAGCUAAUCAAAUCAUACAAAUCAAAAUCCGAGAUCGAAUAAUAAAAAGUCAAAACUUGGUCAAACCUUUCAAAUUUUAAGCUUCAAACUGAGAAAUGUUCUUCCAUAUCCAUUCCGAUUAUCCUGAAAACCAAAACUGACGAUUUAUAUAGGUCAUAAUACAUCAUACAUGGCUAGUCAUUCCUGAGAACUGGCGAGCAAAGUGAAAAUUCUCAAAACGACCGAUCGGGUCGUUACACUUUGACUUGGUUGAUAGUAGCAUAUUUAGGCUUUGUCAUGUGCAGUAUCUUCUCUAUGUGUUGAAAUUGUUCGUAAUACCUUGAUAAAUUGGAUAGCAUAUUUUGUGACACCUAUGUCUCAUUUUCUUGACUUGCGUUUACUUUGUGCUAAAUUUUUAACAUCUCGUGGCUCCGUGAAUUUGGAAUGGGACCGUCCUUAAUAUGUUAUGUGCCAUGUGUGGUGACAUUUUUGUGUAGCCAUGUAUUGUAAUUAAUACUAGAACUUGUCCAUCAUGUGAAUUGAAGCAAAAUUUUAGGUGAUGCUCGGUUUGAAAAAUAUUUUAGGCUUUAUUUGAUCUUUUUAAGCUUAUUGUUUGUCAUAAAUAAAAUUAUCCGUACUUAACCCUUUUGAGCCUAUAGACUUUUAUUUGGAACCCACAUUUCAAGUCCAUUCCCUAUUGUUCUUAACUGACAAUGCGUUAAACCUUUUACCUCUUAAGGCACUUAGCAUGUAAAAUGAGCACUAGAAGAAGUAAGGACGGAACUUGGGUGGCUUUUGAGCGGAACCAAUGAAAGAGAAAAAAAGGUGCACAUGUGUUGUAAAAGAUACACCACUAGCGUAAAUUAUAGGAAAAAAAUUAUUGUUGAAAAAAACGAAAAGAAAAAAGAGUGAAAGUGGCAUGUUGUCCUUGCUAGCGGGUAUAAAUUAAAGUAGCGCUUGAAGAAAGAUGGAACGUUGGGCUGGUGCGAUUUUGUUUGUGGAAUUGAAGUUGGGUUGAAGAAUACGCUCUUAAAGUUAAUUGUGUGAUGUGUUAAAGUUCCUAGGAAGGUCACUAUUCCUAAAUAUAUCCUACACAUCCCUUAGCCUACGUUACAACCAUGAUAAUGUCCUGUGCAAUUUUAAAUCCAGCAAGCCUACAUUAGUAGAAGUUUACAUAAUGGGCAAGCCUAUGGUACAAUUUCUAUGCAUUUGACUUCUUUGUGAGAGGGAGAUUUCUUUGAUAUAUGUCAGUUUUUAACUUAUAUUUGAGCAUGAGAUUCGAAUGUGUGGAUUCUACUUACUCUCCUUGAUUUUGUGUAAGGGCACAUGGUUUCGCUAUGGAUUAGUUACAUUAUUAGAUUUUUGUAUGAUGUUGAGGGUUCAAGCCAUGAGUGCAUUGUGAUAUUGAGUAGGUUUUGAGGCUUAGAUAGUUAUGUGCAUGUUGUCUUUGUUUUGAAUAAUUGUGAAGUAUGGCAUUAGUAAAUGGGAGAGUAUUUUGAAUGCAUAUGCUAGAAUUUAAUUAUUUCUACCAACCAAAGUCAUUGGUUUAGUGUGCUUCGAACAUGUUAAGUAUAAAGUGCUCCAAGAUAGUGUAAAUUGUUAGCUGGCUUAAGGACGAGCAAUGCUUAAGUGUGGCAGAGAUGUUUAUCUAUAAAUAUAUAUAUUUGUAGAGCAUUGCUUACCUUAUAUUUAGAGUGUUUUAAUGAUUAAUUGUGCGACAUUUGAGCUUAAUUAAGUUAUUUUUAUGUGUAAGACUAUUGGAAUGUAUAAAGAAAUGAAAGUUUCACAAAAAGAUAUUGAAGACAUAAAAAAGGCACAAAAAGGAGAAAUUCGGAGGAAGGUGAAGGCACCUGGCCCUGCUUGGCUUAAGGCAAGCUCAACCUGGCCUUACAGCAGGCCUCGCCUAGCUUGUGGCGUACUACAGACCAUGCCUCACCUGGCUUAAGGCCUGAUCCCCCAAUCCGCAAAUAAAUUAUUUUCUGCUCAGUAUUGGACUUGGAGACUUCGACCCUAGCCUAUAAAUAUUCCCUAAACAUGUCUAUAAAAAGGGUGUUGGACGUUUUUGAGAGGGUAAUUCGACCAAGGGAAAGCACGAGCCACUGUGGAGGCUGGAAUUCACCAAAUUUUAUCUUUCUUCAGCCAAACUAAAUAAUUUUUAUGUUUCUUUGGAUGAUAUACUGUUUGGCUACCAUGCCGAUGUGGAGCUAAACUUUACUGUGAUGACCCAGCCGGUGGUAUUAAGAAUUAACGCCCUGAUCCCCUAUUAACUGCUUUUACCAAGUUUAUUUCUGCUAAUGUGAGUUGCCGGGAUGUUUGGUUUUGAAUUUCAGUGAGUUUCGGGACACUUAGUACCUAAAUGAGAGCUUAAGGGUUGGAAAGUUGACCGUAGUCGGAACAGUGUGAAGACGACCUCGAAAUGGAAAUCUGAUGGUUCUGUUUAGCUCCGUUGGGUGAUUUCGAGGUUAGGAGCAUGUCGGAAUUGUGUUUUGGAGGUCCAUAACUAAUUUAGGCUUGAAAUGCCGAAGGUAGAAAUUUUGAAGUUUCAGGUUCGAUAGCGAGAUUUUGAUCGAAGGGUCAGAAUGGAAUUCCAAGAGUUGCAGUUGUUUCGUUAUGUCAUUUGGGAUAUGUGUGAAACAUUUCAGGUCAUUCGGAUGUGUUUUGGUUGGGUUUUUGAUCGAAAACAUAAUUCAGAAGAUUUUUGAAACUUAGGCUUGAAUCCAAUGUGUUUUUGUUGUUUUGAUGGUGUUUGAAGUGUUUUGAAGAUCUGAACAAGUUUGAAUAAGGUUUUAGGUUAUGUUGAUGCCCUUGGUUGAGGUUCCGGGGGCCUCAGGAUGAAUUCGGAUCGUUAACGAAGAAAGUUUUGGAGUUGAAGUCGUGCAGCAGCUGGCCUUCUGGCAUUUUCACAUAUGCGGUUUAGGGACCGCAGAUGCGGAGCCACAGAAGCGAAAUUUGGCCAUAUCUCAAGGAACCACAGAUGCGGUAUAUUUUCUGCAGAAGCGGUAUCGCACCUACGGGUAAAGGGCUGCAGAUGCAGAAUUUGGCCUUAUGUGGGAAGUCGCAGAUGCGACAUUUGUUCUGCAGAAGCAGGACCGUACAUGUGGUCCUAGAACCGCAGAUGCGGAAACUGCUGAGCAUUAUUUUAAAAAGGGGUUCCGCGACUUGGGAGUUUAUUUCCACCAUUCCUAAUCGUUUUUGAACCUUUUGAGAGCGAUUUUUGAGGAAAAAAGGAGAAUCGCUUGGAGGUAACAUCCUUGACUUCAUAACUUGUUUUUAUGUGAUUAAAAGACCUAAUUAGUGGUGAAAAAUUUGGGGAAAAUGGGUAAUUAGGGCUUGAGUUAAAGAGAUCUUUAAAAGAGGAUUUGAGGGGUUAUUUGGACUCCGAUUUCAGGUGUUCUUGUUAUGUAUAAACUCGUGAGAGUACGAGGUUUCUUGAAAUGUAAAUUUCACACGAUUUUGAGACGUGGGCCUGAGGGGCGUUUUGGUCAUUUUACAUAAUUUCGCGUAUUAGCUUAGACUUUAAUUGUAGAAUCAGUUAUUUGAGCUGUUAAUUACAAUAUGCAAUUGAAUUGAAUAGAUUUAGGUCAUUUGGAGUCGGAUACUCGUGCCAAAAGUGUGGUUUCGAAUUGAUUUUGAGCUGGUUCAAUGUAAGUGGCUUGUCUAACCUUGUGUGGGGGAACUUCCCUUUAGGAUAUGAUAUUUGAUAGUUGAAAUGCCAUGUACAUGAUGUGACGAGCGCGUACUUGAGCUAAUUGUUAAAAAUCCGAUUUUACUUUAAGUAUUUAAACUGAGUUCCUUUCUUACCUGUCUUUAUUCUACUUGCAAACUUAGCCUGUGUUAGUUUAGAAAAGCAUGCUUAGUUGACUUAAUUGCCUAUUUGCUUAAACUGCCUUAAUUGUGUUACGUGAAGCAUGUUAGGCUAGAAUUAACUAUUUGCUUGUUACUAACUUAAUAUUUAUUUUGAUAUUCUUGAGCUGAUGCUGUGUGUUUUAAUUUGGGACUACAGGACGGCAUCCCGGAAAACCCCUGCACGUAUUUAUGAUCUGGACUGAGGUGCGGGAUACCAAAAGAUCCCUAAUGUACAUAUUAAGGAUACCAAGAGAUCCUUGGGAUACCAAGAGAUCCCUGACAUAUAUAUUGGGGAUACCAAGAGAUCCUCGGGAUACCAAGAGAUCCGUAGUGGAUUUAUUGAGGAUACCAAGAGAUCCUUGGGAUACCAAGAGAUACCUAGUUAUUAUCUUUGCUGUGAAUGGUGUUUUCCUUGUGUUAUGCCUUUAUUUCUGUUUCCGUUAUUGUACUCUUAUCAUACUGUAUAGAUUCUUAUUGUAGAUUCUCAUUUAUCAUGUCUAUCUUAUCCUGUCAUGUUUAUUAUUAUUUACCUCAGUAGGGCCCUGACCUUCCUCGUCACUACCCGACCGAGGUUAGGUUUGGCACUUAAUGAGUACCGAUGUGGUGUACUCAUGCCCCUUUCUGCGCAUAUUUUUCAUGUGCGGAUCCAGGUACCUCCAUCCAGGCUUAUCAGCCUUGAGGCAGAGAGAUCUUUCGAAGACUUUGAGGUACAUUUGUCGCGUCCGCAGACCAAAGAGUCUCUAUCUUUAUUCUAUCCUGUAGUGUUAGCCUUUCUAUCUUACUGUUGAUGUAGACAUUCUGGAGAUUAGAGCACUUUACUAUAUUUCUUCUAGCUUGUGUUCCCGUGAGUUUUCGGGUUUUGGGAUAGUGUUGUAGAAGUUUGAGAUGUCAUGAUGUAUAUGCCGAGCGGCUUUCUAUAUAUUGCUUCCCUCUUUGGAUAUUCCUGGUUUUCCUUUAUUUAUAUUUACGCAAGUUUCAAUUUUAUUUUCGCACUUGUUAGGCUUACCUAGUCAUAGAGACUAGGUGUCGUCAUUACAUUUAACGGAGGGCGAACUGGGGUCGUGACAAGUUGGUAUAAGAGCUCUAGGUUCAUAAAAGUCACGGAACACAAGCUAGUUUCUUAGAGUCUCGUUGAUCGGUACGGAGACAUCUGUACUUAUCUACGAUAGGCUAUGUAACUGCUAGGAAAACUUCCACUUCAUUUAAUUCCUUGUCGUGCGAUAUUUUGACAUCACAAUUCUAAACUUAUGUCUUCUAUUCUCUCACAGAUGGUGAGGACACGUGCUACUCGAGAUGAUCAGGCACCCGUGCCCCUACUAUAGCCGUUAGAGGUCGGGGCCAGGGUAGAGGCCGAGGGUGCGCCCGUGGUGUAGCCAGAGCACCUACGCGAGCUGCUACCGAGGUACCACCAGCAGAUCCAGCCGGAGUCCAGGUGCUUGAUACGCCUACUAGUACUACUACUCCAGCCCUUGAGGAGACUCUGACACAGUUCAUGAGUAUGUACACCACUUUGGCUCAGGCAGGGUUGCUUCCCCUUGCUGCAGCUACAUCCCAGGCCAGAGGAGGAGCACAGACUCCCGCCGCCCACACUCCUGAGCAGCGAGUGCAUGUUGAGUAGGCCCCUGAGAUUAUUCUUGUACCGCCUGUAGUGCCAGUUCAGCCCAAAGGCAUGGCAGCAGCUUCCGAGCAGGAGCAGCUGAGGCUUGAGAGGUUCAAGACCCCCUGAGUUCAGUGGUCUAGCAUCGGAGGAUGCUCUGGGAUUUCUUGAUGAGUCUUACCGCAUUCUCCGUACUAUGGGUAUCUCAGGAUCGAGCGGGGUUUCUUUCACUACUUUCCAACUUCGAGGAGCCGCCUAUGAUCGGUGGCGCUCCUAUGAGUUAGACAGUCCAAAUGAGGUUGCUUUAUUGACUUGGGCUUAGUUUUUGGAUCUGUUCCUGAGAGAGUAUGUUCCUCAGAGCCUCAGGGAUGCAUGGCACGUAGAGUUUGAGCAUUGGCGCCAGGGUGCUAUAAUGGUUUCAGAGUAUGUUGUCAGUUACACCAAUUUGUCUAGGCAUGCACCAGCCUUGGUUGCUACUGUUCGCGAGAGGGUUCGCCAAUUUAUUGAGGGGUUUAUUCCCAGCAUCAGGUCUAGCAUGGCUCGUGAGUUAUAGAUGGAUAUUUCUUAUCAGCAGGUGGUGAGCAUUGCUAUGAGGAUUGAGGGUAUACAUGCUAGGGGGAAGGAGGAGAGGGAGGACAAGAGGUCUCGAGAGUCGGGCCAUUUCUCAGGUGCCCGUGCCCCAGCUGCAGGUCGUCAUGGAAGGGGUUAUAUGAGUUGCCCCGUUCAUUCAGCUCUUCCAGCAGCCAGCAGUGCUCCAACUCCUCCUAGGCCUCAGGAGCCUUAUUAUGCACCUCCGGUUUCUAGCGUGCCUCCUGUGUGGGGUGCUUUCAGAGGUUAGUCUAGCAGACCUGGCCUGAGCUAGUUGUAGCCACCACAUCCUCCCAGAUCUUGUUUUGAGUGUGGUGACACCCGCCAUGUGGAGAGGGAUUACCCUAGACUUGGGAGGAGUGCAUCCCCACAAACUUCUCAUCCACAACGUGGCCCACAGAUUUCUCAGGCUAUUGUUAUAGCUCCAGUUGCUACCCCACCUGAUCAGCUAGCUAGAGGUGGAUGUCGGGGAGGUAGAGGUCGCCUCGAGGGGGAGGCCAAGACAUAUAAUAUGCCCUUCCUGCCCGUACCAAGGCUGUUGUCUCCGAUUCUAUCAUCACAUGUAUUAUACUGGUUUGUCACAGAGAUGCAUCGGUUCUAUUCGAUCCAGGCUCCACUUACUCUUAUGUGUCUUCUUAUUUUGCUCCGUAUUUGGGUGUAUCCCGAGAUCCCUUGAGUUCUCAUAUUUGUGUUUCUACUCCUGUGGGAGAUUCUCUUGUUGUGGACCGCGUUUAUCGGUCGUGUUAGGUUGCUCUUAGUGGUUUUGAGACCAGAGCUGAUCUAUUGUUACUCAGCACGGUUGAUUUUGACAUUAUCUUGGACAUGGACUGGUUGUCGCCCCAUUAUGUUAUUCUUGAUUGUCACGCCAAAACUGUGACGCUGGCUAUGCCAGGUCUACUGCGUGUUGAGUGGAGAGGUACCUUAGAUCCCACUUCUAGUAGUGUUAUUUCAUUCCUUAAGGCUCAGCGUAUGGUUGAGAAGGGGUGUGACGCGUAUCUAGCUUAUGUGAGAGAUGUCAGUAUCGAUACCCCUUCGGUUAAUUCAGUCCCCGUAGUAAGGGAUUUUCCCGAUGUGUUUCUGGCUAAUCUUCUAGGCAUGCCGCAUGAUAGAGAUAUUGAUUUUGGCAUUGAUCUAUUGCCGGGAACUCAGCCUAUUUCUAUCCCUCUGUAUCGUAUGGCUCCUCCUGAGUUGAAGGAGUUAAAAGAUCAGUUAUAGGAACUACUUGAUAAGGGUUUUAUUCGGCCCAGUGUUUUACCUUAGGGUGCUCCUAUCUUGUUUGUGAAGAAAAAGGAUUGUUCUAUGCGUAUGUGUAUUGAUUAUCGCCAGUUGAACAAGGUUACAGUGAAGAACCGUUAUCCUUUGCCGCAUAUUGAUGAUCUGUUUGACCAGCUUCAGGUCGCACAGGUGUUUUCUAUGAUUGAUUUGUGCUCAGGUUACCAUCAGUUGAAGAUUCGGGAGCCAGACAACCCGAAGACUGCUUUCAGGACUCGGUAUGGUCAUUACGAGUUCCUUGUUAUGUCAUUUGGGCUGACCAAUGCCCCAACAGCCUUUAUGCAUUUGAUGCACAGUGUGUUCUGGUCGUAUCUUGACUCGUUCAUCAUUGUCUUUAUUGAUGACAUUUUGGUAUAUUCCCAGAGUCGGGAAGAUCAUGAGCAGCACCUGAGGACUGUGCUUCAGAAUCUGAAAGAGAAGAAGUUAUAUGCUAAGUUCUCGAAAUGUGAGUUUUGGUUGGAUUCAGUGGCGUUCUUAGGUCACGUGGUAUCGAGUGAGGGUAUUCAGGUAGAUCUGAAGAAGAUAGAGGCCAUGCAGAGUUGGCCCAGACCAUCCUCAGCUAUAGAGAUCCGCAGGUUCCUUGGCUUGUCAUGCUAUUAGUGUCUCUUUCUGGAGGGGUUUUCAUCGAUCGUAUCCCCUAUGACUAGAUUGACCCAAAAGGGUGCUUCAUUUCAAUGAACGGAGGAGUGUGAGGCAAGCUUUUAGAAGCUCAAGACAGCAUUGACUACAACCCUAGUUUUGGUAUUACCUUGGGGUUCAAGAUCUUAUACGGUCUAUAGUGAUGUCUUGAGGAUUGGCCUCGGAGCUGUGUUGAUGCAGGGCGGUAGGGUGAUUGCCUACGUGUCCAAACAGUUGAAGAUUCAUGAGACGAACUACCCUAUUGACGACCUUGAGUUAGCUGCCAUUGUUCACACCCUGAAGAUUUGGUACCAUUAUUUAUAUGGGAUCCCUGUGAGAUUUAUACUGACCAUCGUAGCUUGCAGCAUUUGUUCAAGAAAAGGGAUCUAAAUUUGCACCAAAGGAGGUGGUUGGAGUUGCUGAAGGACUACGACAUCACCAUUUUGUAUCACCCAGGCAAGGCUAAUGUAGUGGCUGAUGCCUUGAGUCACCGGGCAGAGAGUUUGGGGAGUUUGGCAUAUUUACCAACAUCGGAGAGGCCUAUGGAGAUGGAUGUUCAAGCCUUAGCCAGCCAGUUUGUGAGAUUGGUUCUUUCGGAGCCCAGUCGGGUUCUAGCUUACGUGGUUUCUCGGUCUUCCUUAGUUGACCGUGUUAGGGAGCGGCAGUAUGAUGACCCCUAUUUGCUUGUCCUCAAGGACAAGGUUCAACACGGUGAUGCCAAAGACAUGACUAUUGGUGAUGAUGGGUUAUUGAGGAUGCAGGGUCAGAUUUGUGUACCCAAUGUUGAUGGGCUGCGAGAGUUGAUUCUAGAAGAGGCCCAUAGUUCGCGGUAUUCCAUCCAUCCGGGUGCAACGAAGAUGUAUCAAGAUUUGAGGCAGCACUAUCGGUAGAGGAGGAUGAAGAAAGAUAUAGUUGGAUUUAUAGCUCGGUGUCUCAACUGCCAACAGGUGAAGUAUGAGCACCAAAGACCAGGUAGGUUGCUUCAACAGAUAGAGAUUUCGGAGUGGAAGUGGGAGCGGAUCAACAUGGACUUUGUAGUUGGACUCCCACGGACUUUGAAGAAGUUUGAUGCUAUUUGGGUGAUUGUGGAUCGACUGACCAAGUCUGCUCAUUUCAUUCCUGUGUGUACUACUUAUUCUUCGGAGCAGUUGGGGGAGAUUUAUAUCCGAGAGAUUGUUCGUCUACAUGGUAUUCCAGUUUCCAUUAUUUCAGAUAGAGGUACUCAGUUUACAUCACGGUUUUCGAGGACCGUUCAGCGUGAGUUAGGUACUCGGGUAGAGUUGAGUACAAUAUUUCACCCUCAGACGAAUGGAUAGUCCGAGCGCACUAUUCAGAUUCAUGAGGAUAUGCUCCGUGCGUGUGUGAUUGAGUUUGGAGGGUCUUGGGAUCAGUUCUUGCCAUUGGCGGAGUUUGCUUACAACAAUAGUUAUCAGUCCAACAUUUAGAUGGCGCCGUAUGAGGCUUUAUAUGGUAGGCGAUGCAGAUCUCCAGUAGGUUGGUUUGAGUCGGGGGAGGCUAGACUAUUGGGCACAGAUUUGGUUCAGGAUGCUUUGGAGAAGGUAAAGGUGAUUCAGGAUAGACUCCAUACAGCCCAGUCCAGACAGAAGAGUUACGCGGACUGGAAGGUUCGUGAUGUUUCCUAUAAGGUAGGAGAGUGGGGUCUGCUUCGGGUUUUGCCUAUGAAGGGUGUUAUGAGAGUUGGGAAGAAAGGGAAGUUGAGCAAGAGGUUUAUUGGCCCUUUUGAGAUAUUUAGGCGUGUUGGGGAGGUUGCUUAUGAGCAUGCCUUACCUCCCAGCUUGGUAGGAGUUCAUCUGGUAUUUCAUGUUUUGAUGCUACGGAGGUAUCAUGGUGAUUCGUCGCACGUGUUGGAUUUCAGUUCAGUCCAGUUGGACAAGGAUCUAUCUUAUGUUGAGGAGCCAGUGGCGAUAUUAGACAGGCAGGUCAGAAAGCUGAGGUCAAAGAAUAUUGCAUCAGUGAAGGUUCAGUGGCAGGGUCAGCCGGUUGAGGAGGCAACCUGGCAGACCGAGCAGGAUAUGCACAACCGCUACCCUCAUCUUUUCACUACUUCAGGUAUGUCUCUAUGCUCGUUCGAGGACGAACGAAUGUUUAAGUGUAGGAGGAUGUGACGACCCGGUUGGUCGUCUUAAGAAUUAAUGCACUGAUCCCUUAUUAACUGCUUUCCCCAAGUUUAUUUCUGCUAAUGUGAAUUGCCGGGAUAUUCGGUUUUAAAUUUUGGUGAGUUUCGGGAUACUUAGUCCCUAAAUGAGAGCUUAAGUGUUGGAAAAUUGACUGUAGUCGGAACAGUGUGAAGACGACCUCGAAAUGGAAAUUCGAUGGUUCCGUUAGCUCUGUUGGGUGAUUUCGGGGUUUGGAGCGUAUCCGAAUUGUGUUUUGGAGGUGUGUAUCCAAUUUAGGCUUGAAAUGUUGAAGGUUGAAAUUUUGAAGUUUCCGGUUCGAUAGCAAGAUUAUGAUCCGAGGGUCGGAAUGGAAUUCCGAGAGUUGUAGUAGUUUCGUUAUGUCAUUUGGGAUGUGUGUGCAAAAUUUCAGGUCAUUCGGACAUGUUUUGGUUGAGUUUUUGAUCGAAAAUGGAAUUCGAAAGAUUUUUGAAACUUAGGCUUGAAUCCGAUGUGUUUUGGCUGUUUUGAUGUUUUUUGAAGUGUUUUGAAGAUCUGAACAAGUUUGAAUAAGGUUUUAGGAUAUGCUGAUGCCCUUGGUUGAGGUCCCGAGGGCCUCGGGAUGAAUUCGGAUGGUUAACGGAGAAAAUUUUGGAGUUGAAGUUGUGUAGCAGCUGGCCUUCUGGUAUUUUCGCAUCUGCGGUCCGGAGCCGCAAAAGCGAAAUUUGGCCAUCUCUCCAGGAACUGCAGAUGCGGUAUAUUUUCCAUAGAAGCGAUACCGCACCUGUAGGUAAAGGGCCGCAGAUGCAGAAUCUGGCCUUAAGUGGGAAGUCACAGAUGCGACAUUAGUUCCGCAAAAGCGGGACCGCAGAUGCGGAAACUACUGGGCAUUAUUUUAAAAAGGGGUUCCGCGACUUGGGAGUUUAUUUCCACCAUUUCUAAUCGUUUUUGAAGCUUUUGAGAGUGAUUUUUGAGGAAAACAAAGGGGAAUCGCUUGGAGGUAACAUCCUUGACUUCAUAACUCGUUUUUAUGUGAUUAAAAGACCUAAUUAGUGGUGGAAAAUUUGGGAAAAAUGGGUAAUUAGGGCUUAAGUUUAAGAGACCUUUAAAAAAGGAUUUGAGGGGACAUUUGGACUCCGAUUUUAGUGUUCUUGUUAUGUAUAGACUCGUGAGAGUACGAGGUUUCUGAAAAUAUAAAUUUCACUCGAUUCUGAGACGUGGGCCUGAGGGGCGUUUUGGUCUUUUUACAUAAUUUUGCGUAAUAGCUUAGACUUUAAUUGUAGAAUCAGUUACUUGAGGUGUUUUUUUUAAUAUGUAAUUGAAUUGAAUAGAUUUGGGCCAUUUGGAGUCUGAUACUCAUGGCAAAAGUGUGGUUUCGNNNNNNNNNNNNNNNNNNNNNNNNNUUAGGAUAUGAUAUUUGAUAGUUGAGAUGAUGAGCGCGUACUUGAGCUAAUUGUUGAAAAUCUGGUUUUAAUUUAAGUAUUUAAAUUGAGUUCCUUUCUUACCUGUUUUUAUUCUACUUGCAAACUUAGCAUGUGUUAGUUUAGAAAAGCAUGCUUAGUUGACUUAAUUGCCUAUUUGCUUAAACUGCCUUAAUUGCGUUACGUGUAGCAUGUUAGGCUAGAAUUAACUGUUUACUUGUUACAAACUUAGUAUUUAUUUUGAUAUUCUUGAGUUGCUGCUGUGUGUUUUAAUUUGGGACUACGGGACGGCAUCCCGGGAGAUCCCUUGCACGUAUUUAUGAUCUGGACUGAGGUGCGGGAUACCAAGAGAUCCCUAGUGUACAUAUUGAGGAUACGAAGAGAUCCCUGGCAGAGAUCCUCGGGAUAUAAAGGGGAUCCCCAUUACUUUGAAACCCAACUGAUGUUGCUCUAUUUCUCCACUCUCUCUCUCUCUAACUCGCUUGUUCUCACUGGCUCGAGGCCACUUAGCAUUUAUUGCCUUCUUACUUGUUCUUUAUUUAUCGCUUUGUCUUGGCCAUAUAGAAGUUUUAUUUGAUCAUAAUCUAAUUGUUAUCCCAUUCCUGACAGUUUCCAAUACCUCGAGCUCGAUCCGGAUCGGCCCUGAGGCCCCCAUCGACCGAUCCUACGCUCGGGCAGUAAGUUCCUCGGCUCGUUCAACUCCUCGUUUUAGCAUGUAUCCCUUUGGUAAAAUAGACCCGGGCAGUAAGCCUUCAGAUUUGGUUAUCGCCCCAUUUUUAGCUUGUAUUUCAUCAUUAAACUCCACAUUCUUAGCACCAUCUGCUCUAACAACUAGCUCGAGAAUAUAUCACGUAUUUUUAGAAUCCCAAUUACAAAUUUAAUUGUUGUUAUCAUUUUCAUGGUAAACAGUUUGGCGCCCAUCGUGGGUCUAAAAAUAAUAGUGAUUAUCUUUCGCACUUUUUCUUUCCCAAGAUCUGCGAUUUUAGGACGGAGCGUCUGGCUCGACUAGUGAAAUGGGAAGCCGAAACCCCAAAGGUGACAGAAAAAAGGGCACGACUGACCUAGAGACUGGUGUCCACAUGAUUAUUGGGGGAACCAAUGUUUCCCGAGGACAAGUAUCCAAAUGAACGAGAACAUCUUCUGCAGAAGAGGGACCGGCCUAAGAACACUAACCCAAAGAAACCCUCAUAUUCAGCGAAGAGGAUCUCGAGGCUAUGAUGGAACCGGACAAUGACACGCUAGUAAUCUCGUUUCUCUCAAACAACACCAGGAUAAAGCGCGUGCUCGUGGAUCCAGGCAGCUCGGCCAACAUAAUCAGGUCAGAAGUCGUGGAACAACUGGGGCUACUCAAUCAAGUUGUUCCUACCCCUCGAGUCCUCCACGGCUUCAACAUGAUCGGAGAAGAAACGAAGGGAGAGAUCACCCUCCCAAUCAACACGUCUAGCGCAACCCAGAACACUAACUUUCAGGUCAUCAACGGCAACAUGAGAUACAACACCUUACUUGGCAGGCCUUGGAUACACAACAUAAGGGCAGUGCUCUCGACCUUGCACAAGGUGAUAAGAUUUCUCACAAGGGAUGGCAUCACGACCAUACAUGGGGAACAUCGGGCAUCGAGGGAAAUGUUCGCGGUCCACCACGACAUACCAACCUCCACAUGCCCGACCUCGGACGAGGAAGGAAGCAUGCAGACCUUUGAAGAUGAUAAGGAAGACUUCUUUGCCCCCCAAACCUUCGUCGCCCCCGAGGAAUCGGAUGGGACCAAGUUAACAGUUGAAGAGUUGGAGCAGACCGUUUUGAUCAAACACCUCUCGGAUCGCAAGGUAUACUUGGGAACGGGGCUGACUCCCAAACUCAGGACAGGUUUAUUCAAUUCCUUAGUAACAAUAUCGACUGCUUCGCCUGAUCCCACUUAGAUAUGACAGGUAUCCCACCGAAAAUAACCUCCCACAAACUAAGCGUUAACCCAAAUUCAAACCUGUAAAGCAAAAGAGAAAGCCGCAGUCCGAGGUAAAACAUGCCUUCAUCAAAGAGGAAGUAGCGAAACUUCUUAAAAUCAGAUCCACUAGGGAGGUAAAGUAUCCCAAUGGCUAGCUAACGUAGUGUUAGUGCCAAAAAAGGGGAACAAGCUAAGGAUGUGCGUAGACUAUAAAGAUUUGAACAAAGCAUGCCCCAAAGAUUCCUUCCCGUUGCAUAACAUCGAUCGCCUGAUCGAUGCUACGGCCGGCCACGAGACCCUCACUUUCCUUGAUGCCUACUCGGGGUGUAAUCAAAUCUAGAUGAACCCCAAGGAUAGGGAAAAAACCUCAGUCAUCACGAAAUACGGUACAUAUUGCUAUAACGUAAUGCCCUCGGGCUAAAAAAUGCGGGAGCAACAUACAAACGCCUAGUUAAUAAAAUGUUCGCACACCAAGUAGGUAAAUCAAUAGAGGUAUAUAUUGAUGAUAUGCUAGUCAAAUCCCUGCGCGCUAAGGACCAUCUGACCCGUUUGCAGGAAACUUUCUGUGAGCACGUGAUUUUUGCCCUACAUGAAAAUAACUCCUAAAAAUAGAGCAAAAAUAAUUUUUAUUGAUUUUAGGAAUUUUUCUUUAUUUAAAGGAGAAAAGGAAAUUAAGAAGAAUAAUUUUUGGUCUUGUUUCUUCUAAAAUUUGGUCAAUUUCUAAAAUGGCCCAAAUUAAUUUUAAACCCCAGCCCAAUUUCAAUACCAAUACCCAUUUGACCCAUUACCCCCUUUUUCUUUUUUUUACCCUAAUCCCUCACAUGCUCCCACGAGCUAAGGCAAAAAAGAGAGGAGAUUACUAGACCCUUACCCCUUAACGGCACUCCUGAUUCCCUUUCGAUCACUUCCUCCAAAGAGACCCCUCUCAAAUCAGACUCCACUCCACUUCCGAUUCUGAAAACAAUCUCGGAAAUCAAAAAAAAAAAAAGAGGAAGAGGAUAGAAAUACACGGAAACUUCAAAACAGGAACAAAGACAAUAAGAAAAAAUUUAACAAAAAAAGAGUCUCAAAAUUCAACGCUCACUGUUCAUUUCCAUUUUUGGGAGGCUUCCAAGCACGGUUUUGGCUUAAAUGUUGUUUGUUGUUGCUGGAUUAAUAUAGCUGAGCUCCAUUGGUAGUUUUCAUUGCCUCCAUUUGACUGUGUUGUUCCAGUUUUUGCCAUUUAGGUACUUUUUUCUUCCCAGAUCUGAUGUAAUCACUUUUUAUUCUAUUUUAUAUAAAAAUGGUG
RNAcentral lists this long non-coding RNA (15981 nucleotides) under Nicotiana tabacum (common tobacco). RNAcentral's name for it is "long non-coding RNA (NTAB_LNC012202)". The record is from RNAcentral. Lineage: Eukaryota; Viridiplantae; Streptophyta; Magnoliopsida; Solanales; Solanaceae.